RNAcentral lists this non-coding RNA (574 nucleotides) under Pan troglodytes (chimpanzee). Lineage: Eukaryota; Metazoa; Chordata; Mammalia; Primates; Hominidae. The record is from RNAcentral.
CAGAUUUAGGGCAAAGUUAACACUUCAAAAAAAUCUCCAGUAAUUGAGUAAAUUGCUCAUCUGUCAAAUUGGCUCUUUGGCAAAUUACUCUGCUUGCACAUAUUAAUAGCCAAGCUUAGCCAACUUGAAAUAUGGAGAUUUACUGGAAAUCACAGUGAAGUGAAGAGAGAGGCAAGAGCAGAAUUGAAAUUCCCACCUGGCAGCAAAAGAGAGUUAUGCAGAGCAUAUCAGGACCCGUGUUCACACCAGCACUUAGUUUGGAGGAAGCACCUGGAGGAGAUGCAGAGUCCAGAUGUGCGCCCUCUGCCGGAAGCCUACUGCACCAGGACGUAGGCCUGGAGUGGCCCUUAACGCAUUUGGAAAUCAGUCUUCACUAAAAAAACUUCCUCCAAAAUGUUCUUUAACAGCCCUUUAAAAGCCAUUGUUUCAAAACAGUCCAAGGUGGUGAACAAUUAAUAUUUUCGAUUUACAUGAAGACUCUGGAGUAGGAAUUACCUGAGUUGGAAACUCAGUUCUACUCUAUUGGUAUCAGGUUGCAUUCUGUAUCAUCAUUAAAAUUUUCAGAAAAACUCUC